RNAcentral lists this transfer RNA (69 nucleotides) under Amycolatopsis lurida. RNAcentral describes it as "tRNA-Trp". The record is from RNAcentral. RNAcentral also lists the same sequence under 3 other names. Lineage: Bacteria; Bacillati; Actinomycetota; Actinomycetes; Pseudonocardiales; Pseudonocardiaceae.
AUCGGCGAGCUUGGGAAGCGGAACGGUCUCCAAAACCGUGUCCAGGGGGUUCGACUCCUCCCGCCGGUG